AGAUGAAAAGAUUUAACUUGCGUAAGAAACAAAGAAUUAGUUACUACGAACCGGACGAGCCGCCCUUCGACGACUAUGUUUUUUGUCCUUCGUGUCGAGAUUAUGUGUACGAAUACUGCGCUAUACAUGGCCCGUUACUGAUCAUACCGGAUGAUAAGGUCCCUGCCGUAACAAACCUCCCCCCGAUAGUACCGAGGGCAGCCCUGACCGUACCAAGAGUAUUUCUGCAUUUAAAUGUAUCCACUAUUAGAGGCGCCGGUUUGGGAGUGUUCGCUACGAGAACCCUACCACGUAAUGUGCGGUUUGGACCAUACAGAGGAGUACGUAGUAAGGACGCUGCUUCAAACUACUGCUGGCAGAUCUACGACAAAGACCACAAACCCUCGCACAUGGUAGACGCCGCAGACGGGAACAACUCCAAUUGGAUGCGGUUCAUUAAUUGCUCUAGACAUUGGAGUGAACAGAACCUCGUCGCGUUCCAGUACAAAGGAGAAUUGUAUUACUGCACAAUCAGAACUAUUCCCCGCAAUACGGAGCUGAUGGUGUACUACGGGAGUGAGUUCGCACAUCGCCUGCACGUCGAUAUCGGUCGAUAUAACUCACCUGUUGAUGAAUUUGUUAUACGACUAGCAGCUAGUUAUGAACACUACGAUAAAAUGUACGCAGAAAUGACCAACAUAAUUAAUACGAGUGGAACUUCGUUCAACUCAGUUAAACAGCCAAAUUCCAGAAAUGUUAAUGGACCAACGCACACUCAAACUAUUGCUUCCCAGAGAUCAAAUACAAUAC
Leptidea sinapis is the source of this 789-nucleotide long non-coding RNA. RefSeq lists it as uncharacterized. The transcript is spliced from 7 exons. Lineage: Eukaryota; Metazoa; Arthropoda; Insecta; Lepidoptera; Pieridae. The record is from RefSeq and is a predicted model, not a curated record.